GGAGAGAGAUGACCGAGCUGGCCGAAGGUGCACGACUGGAAAUCGUGUGUACGCCCAAAAGGUGUACCGAGGGUUCGAAUCCCUCUCUCUCCGCCA
RNAcentral lists this transfer RNA (96 nucleotides) under Pseudomonadota bacterium. RNAcentral describes it as "Proteobacteria bacterium (groundwater metagenome) tRNA-Ser". It matches the Rfam family "tRNA". Rfam says of the family: Transfer RNA (tRNA) molecules are approximately 80 nucleotides in length. Lineage: Bacteria; Pseudomonadati; Pseudomonadota. RNAcentral also lists the same sequence under 1 other name. The record is from RNAcentral.